AUGCCUUGUCCACACUGGCUGUGUGAGCUGGGAAGCCUGGGGAGCAGACGUUGCCAAAAAAUUUCUGCUUUUCUGUUUUGUUUCCAACCGGAACUUUUUAAGGUUGGCAGCAGUUCAGAACAAAGAGUUUCUCUGGUGACCCAGGGCCCUCGCAGAUCCGUGUCUGUUUUCCAGCUCCUUCCCAGAUGCAUUUGUGGUCAUUUAGCCAUAGCUUCUGUCCGCCCUGCCUGCCCCAGUCGGUCAUGCUGGUGCCCACCUGGCUUUCACAGAGGUCGCUGCGUCUGCUCUGAAGAGACUUCAAAUGCUCUAACUGAGGAGCUUCUAAAAUCGUGGCAUUUUAUGAAGCCAAGGGUUUCAGUUUGGCUUUGGGCACAUUUCUAUCAACUUACGUCCUGAGGCUCAGAAUGGCAGUGAACUACCAUGAGGACAAGGAGUAAAAGGAAUAUAGCCCUACUGCAUGUGCUAUGUGUUGUUGAUGCACCAAGGACUCUAAUACAUUGAAACUGCAAAAGAUGACUGAGUGUUGUUGGUGUGCAUCCCUUGAACUGGAGGCAACUUUUCCUCAAGGUUUCUCUGGAAACUUGAGAAUGAGUUUCCCAAACUAGCUGAUUGCUAAAAUAGGGACAACCAGAGGGAAAACUACGUUUUCUCUGUCUGUAAAAUAUGUGCUAGGGAUGAGCUCAGGAGUUAUAAACCGAUGGGCUUUACUUCAGUACUUGGAACACUGGCUGAAAUACAGCUAUAGAGUUAUAAUGAGCAUGAUAUUAUAAGGACAAAACAGCACUGCUCCCAAAAGGAAAAUUCUCUUUCCUCCAGAAUGUCAGCAAAAUAACAGAUAACCAAGAAGUGAUAGAUAUAAUUUAUUUUGGGUUUUAAAAAGCUCAAGAGGCUAUUAAGGAAGCUCAGAGUAAUCACAGGGUAGGACAUAAUGGACUUUCAUGGACUAAAAACUGAUUAAGAGAGGGAAACAAAGAAUGAAAUAAGUACAUUUAGCAAGUUAAAAAUUGGACUGAAAACUUAAUUCUAUUUCAAUAUCUAUUGGAUUUUAUUUAUGGCAUUGGAUGAUAAAUUGUCAUAAAUACACCCAGGAUUCCAAUAAAUGGUCAGCAAAAAGUCUUUUCUGUCA
This 1126-nucleotide long non-coding RNA is filed under the name Anser brachyrhynchus (Pink-footed goose). Its description in RNAcentral is "lncRNA (ENSABRG00000005199.1)". Lineage: Eukaryota; Metazoa; Chordata; Aves; Anseriformes; Anatidae. The record is from RNAcentral.